Molecule: long non-coding RNA, 200 nt
Filed under: Elaeis guineensis (African oil palm)
Lineage: Eukaryota; Viridiplantae; Streptophyta; Magnoliopsida; Arecales; Arecaceae
Description: long non-coding RNA (EGUI_LNC009635)
Source: RNAcentral
CUCACCAACAAUUCGAGGUUGUAACAUAGUUGAUGUUGAAUCAUCUCAUAAAUAUGAGUCAGAAAUAUAUGGAAUGAAAAGAUAUGGAGAUAUCUAUUUGAUGUUAAAAUAGAUCUUUUAUUCUUACAUAGAUCCUCCCCUUUAGAAAAGAAAGUUCUUUUUUAGAAAGAUUAUCCUUAUCUCUGUUUAUGUCUCGGAUU